Molecule: long non-coding RNA, 558 nt
Organism: Condylura cristata (star-nosed mole)
Lineage: Eukaryota; Metazoa; Chordata; Mammalia; Eulipotyphla; Talpidae
Exons: 3
Source: RefSeq, a predicted model, not a curated record
CCUCCCUCGGUCCCUCAGUCAAGCCCCCGCCGAGCGGCUAACGGCUUUUCCUCAGCCUCCGUUGCUUUCCUGAGUAUGUUCCCGGCCCUGGUGCGCUGUAUUGCCCAUGUGGGCGAAUGUCUCUGCGGGAUGCCGCUUCUAGGGUGCUGGUGACUGCAGGCCAGACCUAGUCCGGCACUACGACGCCAAAACUCCACGAAGCCUCGCUGUUGUGCUUCCUGUGAGUUUGAGUGAAUGUGUGACGAUGCACAGCCGCCACCACAGAGUCACAAGGAAUGGCAUCACUGCCCUCUGAACCCCCUGUGCCCUACCUGUUCACCCCUCCUUCACAACAGCCCCUAAAAUCCCUGACAUUUUUCCUGUCUGGAAUUUCCCCUUUCCCAGAGUAUGCCACAUUUUCUGACUGAUUUCUUUCACUCAGUAAUGUGUUCACCUUUACUUUUUAUUUUAUUUUUGCACAGAACUAGGGUGUAGUCCACAGGUGCAGAGCAGGAGGGGUGAGAUGAUUUCUUGAGACAGUGGGGAGCAGAGGAGGCAGUUCAGCUGAAAGACAUUGCU